UACGUAGGUGGCGAGCGUUGUCCGGAUUUACUGGGCGUAAAGGGAGCGUAGGCGGAUUUUUAAGUGAGAUGUGAAAUACUCGGGCUCAACUUGAGUGCUGCAUUUCAAACUGGAAGUCUAGAGUGCAGGAGAGGAGAAUGGAAUUCCUAGUGUAGCGGUGAAACGCGUAGAGAUUAGGAAGAACACCAGUGGCGAAGGCGAUUCUCUGGACUGUAACUGACGCUGAGGCUCGAAAGCGUGGGGAGCAAACAGG
Molecule: ribosomal RNA, 253 nt
Filed under: uncultured bacterium
Lineage: Bacteria
Description: partial 16S ribosomal RNA
Rfam family: Bacterial small subunit ribosomal RNA
Source: RNAcentral